UCUGACAGAGGAGGGGGAGCAUAUGGAUGGGGAGGGACACGGAGAGGGCAAAUGACCGAGGUUGCAAAGGAGAGCUGGGGAAAGAGAGAGGGCAAGAGAAGACAAGAUGGAGGAGAGGAGUAGCGAUGGAUAAAUGGAUGUGGACAGGAAUGCCUUGUUGGUGGUGGGAUGGGGAGUGAGUGAAUAUCCAGCGGGGGAAGGAGAUGGAUGUGGCAGUGGAAGACCUGCAGGGUAGAGACGAGGGUGGAGACAAAGGCAUGGGGUUGGAGGUUAACCAAGCUUGGCAGGAGGCGUGUGUGCUAUGCCACACUAGGAAGGCUGACCCUCGAGAUUGGACUAAGCGAUAAAGAGCAGAAAGCAGGCGCAAGCUGAAGGCUGUACUCAACAUCCACAUCAGAUGAGAGCUGCUUUAUCAUCGAAAGGGGGCUGACUUAAAUCAUUUAAUUACAUGCUGCUAUGUUUUGCUCAUGUGGUUGAGCCCUGUUUCCGAUGUGCGUGACUGGCCGUUAUUGACAAUGACAGUGACAGUGUUUACUGUGACCCAUCAGGGGAUAAGAAGGUGGAAUCAAUUUAGAAUAUAAAACAAAGAUCUAUAAAUGUUAUGUAAAGCAGGAGGGAAGAUUUGAAUUGGACCUUCUAUGUGAGUCACAGACACAACAUAGAGCUGUAACUAGAAAUGGAACAAUAGAGCACAUUUGUGAUAUUGUAAUCUUACAACUUUAAACAUGACCAUUGUUGGCAUAUCACAGUGUAUGCUUACUAUGUCACUUUUUUUUUUUUUUUUUUAAAGAGGAUGGCACAUAAGACCUUAGCAACAGCUCAAGAAUUAAAUUUAUUCAGUUAGGAAUUUUUUUUAAACAAACAUUAUCACUUUUAGUUUUCAGGGAAUUUUGUGUUUACGUUUUUUAUAAAAUUUAAUUUUUGGAGCCUAUUUGAAGAAUAAUUAAAAAUAUAUUUUAUGCUAAAAAUAAUUAAAAAUAAUUUUUAAUCAUAAAACAUAUUCUCUAUGUAGGUAUAGUGGAAUGUUAAUGGUGUAACUAUUUCAGUUUUCUGUCACUGUAUACUACUGUAUACUAUAUAGUAUUGUACACAGAAUGAUGUGUGAAUAAAAUUCCUGCACUUAUACUUUCAUUUGACCUGAAACAAUCUGGGUUACUAUACGAUAUAAGAUCAGGUGCACACUAAUGAAGAAAGGGACAACUAUGACAUCUCAUGAAAGCAAUCCAGUUCUUUUUUCCCUGGCUUUAAAAAAGAGACACGAGCGAUCUUCACUUGGCUUUGAAGCCAGUCUCUACAGUCCUGAGUCUGGCUCCACUGUGGACCAUGGGGUGCCUCAACACAAAGCCAGGAGCUCAGCAGUGUUCCUAAUGCUAAACAAACUAAUCACUAAAUAUCCUUAAAGGGAUGAAUCUAGCACAAAAAGCAAGACCAUGGGGAGGAAAAGAGAAGAGGGCUUUAUAGACUUUGAGGAGAUCAGGAGUGGUUAAUUCACCUGCUCACUCUAAACUCAACUCUUCAUUGGGCUUCACUGGGAUAUUAAGUUGUUCAUGCUGUAGGGUCAUAAAGCUUUUAAUCAUUUUUAUUUGAUAAUUU
Long non-coding RNA from Pangasianodon hypophthalmus (striped catfish), 1593 nucleotides. RefSeq lists it as uncharacterized. The record is from RefSeq and is a predicted model, not a curated record. NCBI's taxonomy places the organism in Eukaryota, Metazoa, Chordata, Actinopteri, Siluriformes, Pangasiidae. The transcript is spliced from 3 exons.